RNAcentral lists this long non-coding RNA (508 nucleotides) under Manacus vitellinus (golden-collared manakin). RNAcentral describes it as "lncRNA (ENSMVIG00005017812.1)". The record is from RNAcentral. Lineage: Eukaryota; Metazoa; Chordata; Aves; Passeriformes; Pipridae.
GUAUAAAAUAAAUGACACUGAGUAUUAUUUUUGGGGAAAAGAAUGACACUGAAAGCUUUUUCUUUAUUACCUGCAGAGGAGAAGAAAGUAAAGAGCACUAAAGUGGAAGCAAAACUUAAAAAGGAAGUGAAGGAUGGAAAAGGAGAAACAAAGGCGGCCGAGAAAGUCAAGCAGGCAGAGAUUAAACCAACAGAAACUGGGCUAAUAAAGGCCAAAACGAAAGUUAAGGAGGAGAAAGCUCUUCAGACUGUAACUAAAUCGGACAAGAAAGAUCAAUAUGCGUUCUGUCGCUAUGUGAUUGACAUGUUUGCGCAAGGGGAUUUUUAUCCAGGACAUAAGGAAUUUGUACCACCUCGUCUUCUUCUAGAACACAGUCCAAGAAAGAAACCAGCAGCUGUUGACGAAGAAAAGUCUAUUGUGGUACCCAGAGAAGUGAAAAGUAAGUUGUUUUUUAUUAUAUUUCCCUUGUCUUCAUGUUAAUUUAUGCAAAGGAUAGGAGUAUAUUGUC